Molecule: ribosomal RNA, 984 nt
Filed under: Bacillus subtilis
Lineage: Bacteria; Bacillati; Bacillota; Bacilli; Caryophanales; Bacillaceae
Description: bacterial SSU rRNA
Rfam family: Bacterial small subunit ribosomal RNA
Source: RNAcentral
AGUUGGUGAGGUAACGGCUCACCAAGGCGACGAUGCGUAGCCGACCUGAGAGGGUGAUCGGCCACACUGGGACUGAGACACGGCCCAGACUCCUACGGGAGGCAGCAGUAGGGAAUCUUCCGCAAUGGACGAAAGUCUGACGGAGCAACGCCGCGUGAGUGAUGAAGGUUUUCGGAUCGUAAAGCUCUGUUGUUAGGGAAGAACAAGUGCCGUUCAAAUAGGGCGGCACCUUGACGGUACCUAACCAGAAAGCCACGGCUAACUACGUGCCAGCAGCCGCGGUAAUACGUAGGUGGCAAGCGUUGUCCGGAAUUAUUGGGCGUAAAGGGCUCGCAGGCGGUUUCUUAAGUCUGAUGUGAAAGCCCCCGGCUCAACCGGGGAGGGUCAUUGGAAACUGGGGAACUUGAGUGCAGAAGAGGAGAGUGGAAUUCCACGUGUAGCGGUGAAAUGCGUAGAGAUGUGGAGGAACACCAGUGGCGAAGGCGACUCUCUGGUCUGUAACUGACGCUGAGGAGCGAAAGCGUGGGGAGCGAACAGGAUUAGAUACCCUGGUAGUCCACGCCGUAAACGAUGAGUGCUAAGUGUUAGGGGGUUUCCGCCCCUUAGUGCUGCAGCUAACGCAUUAAGCACUCCGCCUGGGGAGUACGGUCGCAAGACUGAAACUCAAAGGAAUUGACGGGGGCCCGCACAAGCGGUGGAGCAUGUGGUUUAAUUCGAAGCAACGCGAAGAACCUUACCAGGUCUUGACAUCCUCUGACAAUCCUAGAGAUAGGACGUCCCCUUCGGGGGCAGAGUGACAGGUGGUGCAUGGUUGUCGUCAGCUCGUGUCGUGAGAUGUUGGGUUAAGUCCCGCAACGAGCGCAACCCUUGAUCUUAGUUGCCAGCAUUCAGUUGGGCACUCUAAGGUGACUGCCGGUGACAAACCGGAGGAAGGUGGGGAUGACGUCAAAUCAUCAUGCCCCUUAUGACCUGGGCUACACACGU